Molecule: ribosomal RNA, 869 nt
Filed under: uncultured archaeon
Lineage: Archaea
Description: bacterial SSU rRNA
Rfam family: Archaeal small subunit ribosomal RNA
Source: RNAcentral
CUCCGGUUGAUCCUGCCGGACCUGACUGCUAUCGGAUUGGUACUAAGCCAUGCGAGUCGUUGUAGCAAUACAAGGCGGACGGCUCAGUAACACGUAGUCAACCUAACCUAUGGACGUGGAUAACCUCGGGAAACUGAGAAUAAACCGCGAUAGAUCAUUAUGCCUGGAAUGGCUUAUGGUUCAAACAAUUUAUUGCCGUAGGAUGGGACUGCGGCCUAUCAGCUUGUUGGUGAGGUAAUGGCCCACCAAGGCUAUAACAGGUACGGGCUCUGAGAGGAGAAGCCCGGAGAUGGGUACUGAGACACGGACCCAGGCCCUAUGGGGCGCAGCAGGCGAGAAACCUUAGCAAUGUGCGAAAGCACGACUAGGUUAAUCCGAGUGAUUUCUGUUGAAGAAAUCUUUUGUCAGUCGUAAAACCACAGACGAAUAAGGGGUGGGCAAGUCUGGUGUCAGCCGCCGCGGUAAUACCAGCACCUCGAGUGGUCAGGAGGUUUAUUGGGCCUAAAGCAUCCGUAGCCGGCUACGCAAGUCUCCGGUUAAAUCCAGCUGCUCAACAGAUGGGCUGCCGGAGAUACUACAUAGCUAGGGAGCGGGAGAGGUAGACGGUAUUCUGUGGGUAGGGGUAAAAUCCACUGAUCCAUAGAGGACCACCAGUGGCGAAGGCGGCUUGCCAGAACGUGCUCGACGGUGAGGGAUGAAAGCUGGGGGAGCAAACCGGAUUAGAUACCCGGGUAGUCCCAGCUGUAAACGAUGCAGACUCGGUGAUGAGUUGGCUAUAUGCCAUCUCAGUGCCGCAGGGAAGCCGUUAAGUUUGCCGCCUGGGGAGUACGGUCGCAAGACUGAAACUUAAAGGAAUUGGCGGGGGAGCC